GAUACACGAAGAAGACUGAGGUCAUCACCCAGAAGUAGUUGCGACACUCCAGGCGGAAGCCGCAUUCAUUAAAUUUGUUCCUGUUUGAGUUUCCACGUUUGCGUUGAGGAUUUAAGAAGUAUUUUUUUUGUUUUGUUUUCCCCCCUAAAGGUUGACAAAUUUAACCAAUCCCCACAGGUACCCGCGGCCUUGGUGACAUGGUGGGCUAUGACCCCAGGGUACAGGGGGUACCGCUCAGUGCCCAGGAGGCAGCCCUGGCGGGGUCGGCUGCCGGCACGGUCACCCGAGCCCUCAUCAGCCCUUUGGACGUCAUCAAAAUCCGAUUUCAGCUGCAGAUUGAGUGUCUGUCCUCUGCAAGGCCAGGAGGGAAGUAUUGGGGCUUAUUUCAGGCGGCACGUUGUAUUCACGCAGAAGAGGGCCUUGCUGCUUUUUGGAAGGGUCACGUCCCCGCGCAACUGCUCUCAAUCUGCUAUGGAGCAGUGCAGUUCGCCACGUUCGAGUGUCUGACCAAGGCGGUCCACGACACGACGUCCUUUGACAGCCAGACGUCAGGGGUGCACUUCCUGUGCGGGGGCUCGGCCGCCUGCUCGGCCGCGGUGGUGUGUCAGCCUCUGGACACGCUCAGGACGCGCUUUGCCGCUCAGGGCGAGCCCAAGUUGUACAGGAACCUGGCGCACGGCGUGUGUACGAUGUGGCGCUCGGAGGGAGCGCUGACGUUCUAUCGCGGCCUCUCGCCGAUGCUCGUUGCCGUGUUUCCUUACGCCGGACUGCAGUUCUUCUUCUACAACGUCUUCAGAAGGCAGCUGGCGCCGCCUCCUUCUGCUGGGAAAUCGGGAGAAAACCUACGGAGUCUGGUAUGUGGCAGCGGAGCCGGAAUGAUCAGCAAAACAAUCACGUAUCCAUUUGACCUCUUCAAGAAGAGACUGCAAGUCGGUGGCUUUGAGGAUGCCAGAGUCCACUUUGGACAGGUUACGAAAGGUAGCGUUGUCACCUCGGAAUCCUUGCAGUGGCGUUCGGGGACCUCAUCGUAGGCGAUGUCCACAAAACACACCUCGGUUGGCUCAUCUCUGGGCUCGCUGCAAAAUAUCUGCAUGGGAAAGGCACAAUUCAAACAAUUGAAAGGCUUCUAUGGUCCAUGAUAUCAUCAUCUAUGGUCCAUGAUAUCAUCAGAAGAGUCAAGAGAAUCACGUAAGCAACAAGCCCGUGACCUUCGAUCCCUCUGGCGCCACUGCAUUAAAGCACAUCCAGGUUUUGGAGCAAAAUAUGCUGCCAUCCAAGCAAGGUCUUUUUCAGGGGGGCGUCCUUGCUUGUUUCAGCGAGACAAUGCCAAGCCACGUUGCGCAUGUGUUAUAUCAGCGUGUCUUCAGGGUAAAAAAGUGUGAGUACUAGACUGACUAGACCUGUCUCCCAUUGAAAAUGUGUGGCGCGUGAUGAUGCGUAAAAUGUGACAAAUAAGACCCCAGCCUUUUGAGCAACUUAAAUUGUACAUCAAGCAAGAAUGGCACCGACAAAGCUUCAACAAUUAGUGUCCUCAGGUGUUGUUCAUAAAAAAGAAAGGUGAUCUAACAUGUCCAUGUCCUUACUUUUUUGGAACUCAAAUUCAAAAUGAGAGUAUAUUUGCUAAAAAAAAAAACAACUAUAUAUAAAGUUUCUCAGUUUGAACAUUAAAUAGCUUGUCUUUGUAGUGUAUUGAAUAUAGGUUGAGAAGGCUCUGCAAAUCAUUGUAUUCAGUUUUUAUUUAUGUGUAGUAAGGAUGAAAGCGCAGCGAGAAAGCUGAAUUUACUAAUUAAAUAAACAUGACAGUGACGUCGCUUGUACAGAUUUUGGUGGGCUAGGUGUCAUCAGGCGGGGGCUGGCAAGUGCAAACUUGAGAAUUGAGGAGGAGGGCGCAAACAAACACGCUCGGUGAAGUGUUCUCCAACAGCCUCAACCAUCUGUGACAUUGCAAGAAAGACGGGCUGCAACGCCCCCCUUUCGCCUCUGGGUGGUGCUGUGGCACAUAUUUGUUUUAUUGCGUAAUGUGCCUUUAAAACGACACCAAUGCCACACAAAAAGCAACAUAUAGUACUGUACUGUAUCAGUCAUAAGCAGAGGUGGCAAAAGUACUCACAUUCUGUACUUAAGUAGAAAUACCGACAGUUGUGCAGAAAGUGAUUCAACUCCCUUAUGGAAGCAAAAAUAAAAAAAAGUGCUGACUCUAAAAUGUAUUCAAGUUGUUGUUAAAGUAGUAUUUGAACAUAGGUACUUUGCACUACUCUUAAUAAGACUUGGUAAAAGGCUUAUUAGAUACAAAGAAAAGAGUAUCAUGUAUUUUUAUUCAAAUUAUAAUAAUAAUAAUAUCUUCUUUUUUUGUACUGGGCCCGUGAAUAAUUAAGUAAGAAGCUACCAUUCCUCACUUUUUCCAUAUCCCAAUUUAUGAUUAAAUUAGGGCCCCCAUCCUUUUUUUUUUUUAAAUUUUUAUUUAUUUAUUUAUUUUUUCCUCCACAGCGUGGCCCAUUUCUUGAUAUUGAUAUUUCAACACAGUAUUAGUAAAGUCCUCUAAGCCACUUUUACAGAGCGGGAUAGCAGAGAAUACGUAACAAAAACACAAUAAAAAGAGAUAAUCAUGCAAGCAUUAUGCAACUUUCACUCACGUUAUCGUUGCUCCCUUUGUUGUCCUCGUAUUUGGUCUCGAUGUGGAUGGAGAACUUGGGCAGGAAGGAACACUAUCGAGACAAACACACUCACAUUUUUACACCAAGCACCACAACAA
Phyllopteryx taeniolatus (common seadragon) is the source of this 2752-nucleotide RNA transcript. It is a transcript of the gene named solute carrier family 25 member 19, with no coding region annotated. The transcript is spliced from 8 exons. The record is from RefSeq and is a predicted model, not a curated record. NCBI's taxonomy places the organism in Eukaryota, Metazoa, Chordata, Actinopteri, Syngnathiformes, Syngnathidae.